CUUGGAAAUGUUGUGGAGCUUUUAAAGAAGAUCCACCUCACUUGUAGUUAGUUAUACAAGCAACAGUCAUGUGGCUUCCCUUGCUUCAUUUUUUGCUCUUAUUCUGACUUUUAGGGUUGCUUGGAGGAAUAAUUGCAAAGGAAAAGAUCUCUCUGGGUGGACAAAAGGUUGCAAUCUCUGAGUUCCAUGGUCCUGAAUGAAUUCCAGCAUUUCUCUUGAGAUCCCCUUUGAUGAAACAUCUACCUACUGCCAUAUAAUCAAACUCCAGCUGCUUCUUUCUGGGCUAGCAUUUGCAUGUUGUGCCCCACCCCAUGGCCCUCUUUCUAGAUGAGGGAAAGUGAUUAUUAUUUUUAAGUGUGUCUGGGGUGGUGAGUCAUCUUGCUUUGGAUUGAGAGCUUCUCUGCUUGAAAAUCUUCAAUAAACUGAACAUAAACAAAA
RNAcentral lists this long non-coding RNA (438 nucleotides) under Podarcis lilfordi (Lilford's wall lizard). The record is from RNAcentral. Lineage: Eukaryota; Metazoa; Chordata; Lepidosauria; Squamata; Lacertidae.